Molecule: non-coding RNA, 82 nt
Filed under: human gut metagenome
Also listed under: 1 other name
Description: TPP riboswitch (THI element)
Rfam family: TPP riboswitch aptamer (THI element)
About the family: Vitamin B(1) in its active form thiamin pyrophosphate (TPP) is an essential coenzyme that is synthesised by coupling of pyrimidine and thiazole moieties in bacteria. The previously detected thiamin-regulatory element, thi box was extended, resulting in a new, highly conserved RNA secondary structure, the THI element, which is widely distributed in eubacteria and also occurs in some archaea.
Source: RNAcentral
GCCACGGGAGCUCGACGCGAGCUGAGAGGGGACCAUCCCCGACCGUAGAACCUGAUCCGGAUCAUACCGGCGUAGGAAGGCU